Molecule: long non-coding RNA, 4863 nt
Filed under: Lactuca sativa (garden lettuce)
Lineage: Eukaryota; Viridiplantae; Streptophyta; Magnoliopsida; Asterales; Asteraceae
Description: long non-coding RNA (LSAT_LNC000985)
Source: RNAcentral
GUGAGGAUAACUCACCUGCAAUUUCCGACUGAAGAGAUAAGACCAAGCUGCUCCGACCACUGACAUGAUCCUCACCACAGAACACUACCAAAUAACCAAUUCCAUAAAUACCAAAAUUACCAAAAUACCCUUGGGAGUUAAACUGGUCAACUCUUGCUCAAAGUCAAAGUCCUUAGUCAAAGUCAACCUUUCUGGUUGACUCUACUCGUCGAGUCGCCCCAAAACUUGCCAAGUCCAAAGAUCUCUAUGUCCCAUCCUGUCUAACUUACUAAGUCGCCAACCGACUCACUUAAUCCAAGGCUUUAACCAAAAGAGGUUGGGUUCUGCGACCAGACUCGCCAAGUUCCAAGACAAUCUUCAACAUACUCACCGAGUCCAUGCUUAUGUUCAUACAACUCGUCGAGUACACCCAUGUGACUCACCGAGUCCAUGCUUAUGUUCAUACAACUCGUCGAGCCAUGUAGGGCUCCAAACCAUAUAUCCACUCUUCUACAACCCAAUCCUCACAUAAAGUUGCAAACUUUACGUGAGACCAAGGAGAUAUAGGCUCAAAACACACUAUGACUAGGUUUAAGGAAUAACGGGCUUCACCAACAACUCUUAAACAGAAACUUUAUGACAUUAUGGACCAUCACAAGCCUAGAUAUGGAGUAGCAACCUCAGAUCUAAAUUACAAACCCGAAAUAGAUCUCAAACAAGCUAAGGAACUCCCAAAACAACCACCAAGGAUGAACCAAAAAGGAAAUAGCUUAAGACAAUGCUUCUUACCUCUGAGAUGUGCCCAAACUGAUGUAGAUCCCAGAUCUAUUCAAGCCCCUUGAUGCUAGCUUCUAAUUCCUCAAGCUCCUUCCACCAAACUCCUCUUUCAAGCUCCAAUCUCCUCAACAAUGAAGCCUCACACGAAAUUAGGGUUUUCUGGAACUCUUUGAGGCAAUAAGAGGAUGGGAGAAGGACAUAAAGUCCUUUAAAUAGGUUGAAAACCCUAAGAUUAGGGUUUUUCUUAUUCUAGCACCAACUCGUCAAGUCCAGCUUCCGACUCGGCGAGUUGGUCACGUAAUUCGCGACCCAAACCCCCUCCGACUCGGCGAGUAAGCGUACCUACUCGUUGAGUCCCUUCUUCGAAAUUACACUUUACACCCUUAAAUUAUACUUCUGAAAUUCGGAAUGUUACAAUUCUCCCCCAGUUAAAUUAAGCUUCAUCCUCGAAGCCCGCGGCAACACAAACUUCCAGGUGAUACUCCCACAAUGCAUCCACUGAUCUCAACCGACCCAGAUUCCUUCAAACACUACUAUCGAAUCCAUAAAAUCCAUCUCUUCUCUUUUAGGGUCCUGAUAAACACUUCGAUUCGGCCACCGGCCUCUAUCUCUGAUAACAACACUCAUUAACUAUGUGCCACUAGAAGACACUACCUUACUUCCGCUUUACACAUUCAUUCGCCACCUGCGAAAACUGGAUACCAUUCUAAACCAUCGGGUCUUGACCCGGUAUUAUCUCGCUAUUUCUCAACCAUCUGGCGCCACUUCUCUCAACUCGCACCGAUGGAAACUCAUCCGUUUCCUCCCUGGAUCAAAUCCUUUACCGUGCUGAUAUAAUGGAUCAUUUCCCAGCUCCCGAGCUACCCUCCUGAACAACCAGCUAUAACGUUCAUACACAUCGCACCUGGACCAAUCAGCCUUGGGUUGCAUGUCACACCCCCAUUCGGGGGUGGGUGACUUCACGAAGUACCAUAACAAUUGAAUAUCGUAAAGAAAGUAACACAACCAUCAUAUAUAUAAUAAAAAAAACGUACAUCGUUGCGUUUUACAUGUUACCAAAAGAAUAUUACAAUAAGAUGGUUUUAAAUGUUUGACAAUAAAUGUCACAGUGUUCCUUCAUCAAAAGCUUGAUAGUUACCUGUAUUACUGAUUCCCUGAGAAAUACAAGUGGUUUUGAAAAGAGUGUCAACAAUAAAGUUGGUGAGUUAAUAAGUUGUUUUGUAUUGAAAAGUAUGUCAUUUUGAAAAAAAUGUAGAUAAACGUAGUUCCAGAAAAUCCAAUAUUUUCCACAUUUUGCUCGAAAGGUUUCCAAAAUUGGAGUGCGUUAGUAUUUUUCGUACUUGAAUGAUAAAGAUAAACUUCGUGCUCAAAAUAAUGUAAAAUACUGCAUACAUAUAUAAGUCUCUUAAAUCAAUCUUGUUUUUAUACUUUCUUGUGAGUUUUAUAACCAUACUAUUGACACAGACUGCCUGUAACAACAUUCUUCAAGUGUUGUAGUGUUAUGACAUUUGUCACCCUAGACUUGCCGGUCUAACUAUAGCUAACAGUUUAGGUGCGGGGUUGUCAAUCCCAUAUAGAUCUAUACACAAGUAUCACGCUCUCCCUCCAAGAGAUUAUGCUUUAUAACACAGGACUUGAAACGCAUACUCAAGAGUACGUUGAAGUUGAAUAUCUCACAUUACUUAGUAUAAAAUAGAUUUACGAUAGCAAAGUCUUUAUUUCGCUUCAGAUGAAAGUAUUUCGUUUUUCCAAUGUGUAUAUGCAAAAUGUAUGAAUAACUCGCAAACUAUACCCAUUAAAGUUCUUCUAAAAAUGUAUUCCAUUUGUUUGAAAUUAACUUGGUGAAAUACUAACCGUAUUCGUAAAGUAAAAUGGUGAUAUCGAAUAAUGAUAAGAUAGCAGUUGUAUUUAUAUUUAUAUAAAUUGAUGCGUUUUUCUUGUAUUAUGCUUGUAUUUGCCCCCCUAAAACAUGAAAAGACUUGAAAAGUAUGGGUAUGAACUCACUUGUUUGGUUUUGAAGAGAGAGAGAGAGAGAGAGAGAGAGUCUACAGUCGGGCAGAACUUCAACCGUGGAAUGUUGCGUCUCCGAGCUUCUCGGGGAUCUCGGUGGUGUAGAACCUUCGUUGGUGCUUGGGUGCGUAAAUCGAGGGUGUCGGGAUGGCUUCUGGUGCUUGCAAAUGUGUGAGAGUAAAGGUGAGUUUGAGAGUGUGUGCCUAAAAUCCGGAGCUUAUGCCUUCUAUUUAUAGAGCUGGAAGGACGAGUACAUUGGGCAUACCACUGGAGUACGCUGGGCGUACUGCGGUUACGCUGGGCGUAACUUCGCGUCAUGGUUUACGACUCCGGUCUAGCUAGGCGUAGAGCUGCAGCCGAUGGGACUCGACCCUGCACCUGAGUACGCUGGGCGUAAUCCUGGCUUCUGUCUUCUAAAUUCCGAAACUUUCACGUACGGGCUCCAUUUUUUGCGUUCUUUAUAUCCACGCGUAGGUGAGAUUAUGCUCUACAACUUUCAUUUAGACUCCGUUGGCUAGUUUUUAAUUUAUUUUUAAUGAUAUGUUUUUAAUAGGACGGGACUGCUAAAGUUCGCUAAAAAUUCAUAGUUUCUUUAUUUGACGUCGGUUUUCGUUUGUCUUUUUAUCAUCUUACUCUUAUUGUGGACAGCUUCAACUCUCGUUUAGUUGCGUUAGCUAAAUAUCGUUCGAUCUUCAAUUCGAGUUUUUAGCUCUCUAUUACCGUUACGAAACUUUGAAAAUUCGUAACUUCUUCAUACAAAGUCCAUUUUGGGCGAUCUUUUUAUGCACGCUCAUCAUUUAUCAAAAUCUACGACUUUUGUUUAGAUACUUAAGGCUAAAAUGCAUUUUAUUGAAAUUUCACUUUUUACGUUAAAUAGUGUUUUUACCGGGUGUGUCAUAAAUAUUUUAGUGGUUAUAGUUUCUUCAAUAUAACUCGGUUUCGAAAGUUCUUUAUGUUUUUGGAAACCUUGGCACGAUAUCUAACAUUUGAUGCAUCCCAAUUUAGAUAUUUGAACACUUUAUUUUUUGAGGUUAAUUUCGUUGAUUCCAAAUAGCUUUCGUUGUACUUGACUUUCGAGUGUUACAUUGCUUUUUAAAAAAAUAUAGGAUUGUCACACUGGAAAACCAGGCACGCCUACGAUGGUCAAACCAUCCCUAGGAUGAAUGUAACAUCCAUAAAAAUUCACACCAAAUUUAAACUUUUUCAAUCAUAAAUAAAAACCACAUAGCAUUGUUUACAAAAUGUAUUCAAAUCAUUUUUCCAUCAGAGUGUCCCAAAAAUCAUAACAUAAGGAUGAGGAGCAAUACGGUCACGCCUUCAUCUUUCCAUGAUCUCAUGAAGUACUUGAAACAGUAAACUGAAAACUGUAAGCCGAAGGGCUUAGUGAGCUACCCCCAAAAUACCAACACCACACUGACAAUACCGUAACAGUAAUAAUCAAUCAAUCAACAUGCAUACUGGGCCACCGGCCUGACUGGACCGCCCUAUCGGGCCUACAGUCUGUCUGGAUCUAUCCCGAGCCUUCGGCAUGACUGGUCCGCCACGUGGUCCUACAGUCUCCCCGAACCGCUCAUAGGGUAUGUUGGCCUUCAGCACAAAGCAGGACCGCCUCAACCCAACCAACAAGCAAAUAACCAUGUCCGCAUAGCUAUCAUAUACUGGCGUAUACAAACAUCAAACAUAUCUAUCUCAUUGAUCACAAUCAUAGAAUUCUCCUAUAACUAGAGUACCGACCUAGCAGGUCACUAACACACCAAUCCCUACGGAUCAUAAAAGCAUAGCAUAUUGUCUACCUCGAUUCUGAACUAACAAAUAAUAACCACGUGCAACAUACCAUAACAAUAACAACUAAAGGGCCGACCUUCGUGCCGUAGACCCUAUCGAUAUAGUGAGGAUAACUCACCUCGCAGAUGUCAACACAGAAAGUAAACUCCAACUCUCGGAUCACUCGACACAGGCCCCACCACCUAUAACCAUAGUUCAAUAUUCGCAUAAGUAUUUAUCCUUAUAAGGUACUCCAUAACCCAAUAGUCAAUCCCAGAUCAAGGUCAAAGUCCUCAUUCAAGGUCAACAUUCCCUGUUGACCUCAACUCGCCG